Molecule: ribosomal RNA, 243 nt
Filed under: uncultured bacterium
Lineage: Bacteria
Description: partial 16S ribosomal RNA
Rfam family: Bacterial small subunit ribosomal RNA
Source: RNAcentral
CACGUGGGUAACCUGCCUUAUAGUGGGGGAUAGCCUUUCGAAAGGAAGAUUAAUACCGCAUAAGAUUGUAGUAUCGCAUGAUAUAGCGAUUAAAGGAGCAAUUCGCUAUAAGAUGGACCCGCGUCGCAUUAGCUAGUUGGUGAGGUAAUGGCUCACCAAGGCGACGAUGCGUAGCCGACCUGAGAGGGUGAUCGGCCACAUUGGGACUGAGACACGGCCCAGACUCCUACGGGAGGCAGCAUG